AGCGAACGCUGGCGGCAGGCUUAACACAUGCAAGUCGAGCGGGCACUUUCGGGUGUCAGCGGCGGACGGGUGAGUAACGCGUGGGAACGUGCCCUCUGGUUCGGAAUAACUCAGGGAAACUUGAGCUAAUACCGGAUACGCCCUUUUGGGGAAAGGCUUGCUGCCGGAGGAUCGGCCCGCGUCUGAUUAGCUAGUUGGUGAGGUAACGGCCCACCAAGGCGACGAUCAGUAGCUGGUCUGAGAGGAUGAUCAGCCACACUGGGACUGAGACACGUCCCAGACUCCUACGGGAAGCAGCAGUGGGGAAUAUUGGACAAUGGGCGCAAGCCUGAUCCAGCCAUGCCGCGUGAGUGAUGAAGGCCUUAGGGUUGUAAAGCUCUUUUAUCCGGGACGAUAAUGACGGUACCGGAGGAAUAAGCCCCGGCUAACUUCGUG
RNAcentral lists this ribosomal RNA (435 nucleotides) under uncultured bacterium. RNAcentral's name for it is "partial 16S ribosomal RNA". It matches the Rfam family "Bacterial small subunit ribosomal RNA", at positions 29 to 507 of the family's 1533-position model. The record is from RNAcentral.